This is a long non-coding RNA of Herpailurus yagouaroundi (jaguarundi), 1361 nucleotides long. RefSeq lists it as uncharacterized. Lineage: Eukaryota; Metazoa; Chordata; Mammalia; Carnivora; Felidae. The record is from RefSeq and is a predicted model, not a curated record. The transcript is spliced from 3 exons.
CGGGUUGGGAGAGGGGCAGCAGAAAGGCCCGAUGGAAGGAGCCUGGAGCCCUGACGAAUUUACAAGGCAGAGCUUCUGUGACUGCUCCAGCUUUCCCACUAGAGAGAAACACAUUUCCACCUUGACUAAGCCGCUGUCAUCUUGGGUCUGUCUUGGGAGCCAAACCUAUACUUAGAUACCACCUCACGGGGACUCUGUAAGGCUCUUCUGAGCAAACGUGUGCACAGCAUAAUACAUAGGUGUGCAUCCCGGAUGGUUAUUAGGUUGGAAUCAUGUUAUCGUUCCCCCUUCUUCAAAAUCCUUCUAGAGCUUCCACCUGUGCCAUCUGCCCCUCGCCCUCCGAACAGAGAUCACAUUCGCUGAUGAGGCCUCAAAGGUAAGCGACACUGUCCAGGAGGCUGCGACACAGGUCCUCGUGCUCUCUCACCGCCCUCCUGACGUCCCCUCCCAGAAUCCCCUCCAGAGCCUCGUCCUUGGAAGCCAAGUGUGAGAGCAGGGUCACCAGCUCCACCUUGUGGAUGGUCUCGUCCAGUAUGGACAUGACCCUCUUGGUCUCGAUGGUGCAUCUAAAUAUAGAAAGCGAGUUACACGGGUGAUGGAAAUAGUUGAGAGGCUAACCAGGGAAGGGGAAGCCACCCAGCCACCGUCAACGGCAGGAGGCCACCACAGAAGGAGCUGGUGGUGAGCUUGGAGGACGAGGGUCACCCAGGGGAAGCUGGAACCGCACCCAUUUCCUGUCCAGGCGGGGCUAUAGCCCCCCCAGGAGCUGUGGUCACCGCUGGAAACGCAGCCCAAAGCAGAGAGAAGAGGAAAUAAGGUGGUUUCUUCUUCCUCCCACCCUCCAAUCCGACACCAGCGCCUCCCAUUGGCCAAACCCCGGGGGAAGCCAGAGGACAAGACGAGUGGGCACAGCAGCCUGCAGGUGUCAGCAGCCCGAGACAGAGCAGCACAGGGACAGAGGGAAGAAUGCGGCUGCGAGCAAAUGGGACUGGGACCAGCACAGCACAUCUGCGCUGGUUUUUAAGUAUGGAUUUUAAAAGUCGGGGGGGGCGCGAACAGUGACUUUGAAACACAGUCUUUCGAACCUGCUUCGCUACGUGCGAUGUUGUAUCUCGGACUGGAUCCUGGAAGGGGAAACGGACAUUAGUAGGAAAAUGUAAAAUCAAACCAAGCCGAUGGUGUCGUUAACAGCAUCGUACCAAUGUUAGUUUCUUGGUUUUGACGGACAGACCCAUCACGGUUAUUGAAGAUAUUAACGUUGGGAGAGCUGAGUAAAAGGGCAUUUGGGAAUCCUGAACUAUCUUUGCAACUUUUCCGUAAAUCUACGGUCAUUACGAAAUAAAAAGUUGAAAAAACUCUGA